CUACAAUUAUACGGUUCUACGGAAAAGUUCAUAUCCACUUUUCUCUUCGAGAUAGACAAGUAUGAGAAUGACAAAGUCGCGGAAUAAUGAAACUAAUUGUGACUUAAAGAAAAGAGUAUGAAUCCCGACAUCUUCGUCCGAGAACAGGACGUUUCGACGCAAGGCGAGGGUGCAGUUUCCUGCUGACCGCGGAAACUCUCUUAUUCUGAUUCUAGAAGCAUUCGAAGGAGUGCCUUCCGUUAAAAGUGAAGAAGAUCCGUGCCCGAGAAGAUUAAAAAAGAAGAGCGCAGCUCUCAAGAGUUAAGAGGAAGGGUGAAGAGCAGUUGAGAUUUCCUCGAAGGCACAAAUUUACACUUGAAUAAUAUGAGUCUGACUCAAACAUUUUGAAUGGUUUUUCUUUAUAGGAUACUCUAUUGGUAUAGAAAUAUGGGAUACACAUAUUAAGGGAACAUACAUAUUAGGUAUAUCUAAUAUUUUUUAAUGUAUUGUUUAUUUUCUUUGUUUUUUGUUAAUAAAUUAUUAUAUUUUGACAUUUUGUACUAUUUCUCACCCUUUUAUAUGUGCCAUCGUUCAAAAAUAUAGU
Molecule: long non-coding RNA, 583 nt
Organism: Bombus impatiens (common eastern bumble bee)
Lineage: Eukaryota; Metazoa; Arthropoda; Insecta; Hymenoptera; Apidae
Exons: 2
Source: RefSeq, a predicted model, not a curated record